This 61-nucleotide transfer RNA is filed under the name Klebsiella pneumoniae. RNAcentral describes it as "tRNA-Ala". It matches the Rfam family "tRNA", at positions 7 to 64 of the family's 71-position model. From Rfam's summary of the family: Transfer RNA (tRNA) molecules are approximately 80 nucleotides in length. Their secondary structure includes four short double-helical elements and three loops (D, anti-codon, and T loops). Lineage: Bacteria; Pseudomonadati; Pseudomonadota; Gammaproteobacteria; Enterobacterales; Enterobacteriaceae. The record is from RNAcentral.
AUAGCUCAGCUGGGAGAGCGCCUGCUUUGCACGCAGGAGGUCUGCGGUUCGAUCCCCGCAU